Molecule: ribosomal RNA, 253 nt
Filed under: uncultured bacterium
Lineage: Bacteria
Description: partial 16S ribosomal RNA
Rfam family: Bacterial small subunit ribosomal RNA
Source: RNAcentral
UACGUAGGUGGCGAGCGUUGUCCGGAUUUACUGGGCGUAAAGAGCGCGCAGGCGGUCGUGCAAGUCGCGUGUGAAAGCCCCCGGCUCAACUGGGGAGGGUCACGCGAUACUGAUCGACUCGAAGGCAGGAGAGGGUAGUGGAAUUCCCGGUGUAGUGGUGAAAUGCGUAGAUAUCGGGAGGAACACCAGUGGCGAAGGCGACUACCUGGCCUGUUCUUGACGCUGAGGCGCGAAAGCUAGGGUAGCAAACGGG